UUUAGCAGAGAUGCUUUAGUGCCUUCGGGAACUCUGAGACAGGUGCUGCAUGGCUGUCGUCAGCUCGUGUUGUGAAAUGUUGGGUUAAGUCCCGCAACGAGCGCAACCCUUAUCCUUUGUUGCCAGCACGUAAUGGUGGGAACUCAAAGGAGACUGCCGGUGAUAAACCGGAGGAAGGUGGGGAUGACGUCAAGUCAUCAUGGCCCUUACGAGUAGGGCUACACACGUGCUACAAUGGCGCAUACAAAGAGAAGCGACCUCGCGAGAGCAAGCGGACCUCAUAAAGUGCGUCGUAGUCCGGAUUGGAGUCUGCAACUCGACUCCAUGAAGUCGGAAUCGCUAGUAAUCGUAAAUCAGAAUGUUACGGUGAAUACGUUCCCGGGCCUUGUACACACCGCCCGUCACACCAUGGGAGUGGGUUGCAAAAGAAGUAGAUAGCUUGACCUUCGGGAGGGCGUUUACCACUUUGUGAUUCAUGACUGGGGUGAAGUCGUAACAAGGUAAGCGUAGUGCU
Molecule: ribosomal RNA, 514 nt
Filed under: uncultured bacterium
Lineage: Bacteria
Description: bacterial SSU rRNA
Rfam family: Bacterial small subunit ribosomal RNA
Source: RNAcentral